UGGGGAAUUUUGGACAAUGGGCGAAAGCCUGAUCCAGCAAUGCCGCGUGUGUGAAGAAGGCCUUCGGGUUGUAAAGCACUUUUGUCCGGAAAGAAAUCCUUGGCUCUAAUACAGUCGGGGGAUGACGGUACCGGAAGAAUAAGCACCGGCUAACUACGUGCCAGCAGCCGCGGUAAUACGUAGGGUGCAAGCGUUAAUCGGAAUUACUGGGCGUAAAGCGUGCGCAGGCGGUUUGCUAAGACCGAUGUGAAAUCCCCGGCUCAACUGGGAACUGCAUUGGUGACUGGCAGGCUAGAGUAUGGCAGAGGGGGGUAGAAUUCCACGUGUAGCAGUGAAAUGCGUAGAGAUGUGGAGGAAUACCGAUGGCGAAGGCAGCCCCCUGGGCCAAUACUGACGCUCAUGCACGAAAGCGUGGGGAGCAAACAGGAUUAGAUACCCUGGUAGUCCACGCCCUAAACGAUGUC
Molecule: ribosomal RNA, 464 nt
Filed under: uncultured bacterium
Lineage: Bacteria
Description: partial 16S ribosomal RNA
Rfam family: Bacterial small subunit ribosomal RNA
Source: RNAcentral